UACGUAGGUGGCAAGCGUUGUCCGGAUUUAUUGGGUUUAAAGGGUGCGUAGGCGGCCUAUUAAGUCAGUGGUGAAAUAUUUCAGCUUAACUGGAAUUGUGCCAUUGAUACUGAUGGGCUUGAGUACAGAUGAGGUAGGCGGAAUUGACGGUGUAGCGGUGAAAUGCUUAGAUAUCGUCAAGAACACCUAUAGCGAAGGCAGCUUACUAGGCUGUAACUGACGCUGAGGCACGAAAGUGUGGGGAUCAAACAGG
Molecule: ribosomal RNA, 253 nt
Filed under: uncultured bacterium
Lineage: Bacteria
Also listed under: 1 other name
Description: partial 16S ribosomal RNA
Rfam family: Bacterial small subunit ribosomal RNA
Source: RNAcentral